UCUGAGCCUCCUUCCAACCCCCUUGCAGGAUUCCUCAAGCAAGAAGAGCUGGUUUGGUUGCUGUCCUUCAAAUGAUGGAUCUUAUCACGUGGGAAAAAGAAAAAAAGCAAACCACCUGCAAACAGCCACAGGUGUGGACAAGACCAAGGACUGAAGCUGAAGGGUGUGCAAGCUCCCAUCUGCGUGCCAGCCUGGGCGUACUGUAAGGUGGAGACAUCUGCAACUUCAUGCGCUGCACCAUGGAUGGGCUUUCUUCUUGUCAGGAGUGUUUGCCUUUGGGAUCCUCCUAUUGUUGGGGCACCACCGAGAGGAUUACUGUUUGCUCUUUGCUUCUGCAUUCACCUCUAGUCGCAGAUGCAGCCAGGCCUUCCCAACCAGCUGCUUUUCCUGAGCUGCAGGAGCAGAAGACAAGCCCAGGCAGGGCCAUCUGCAGCAGCUGCUGUGCUCCAGCA
This 452-nucleotide long non-coding RNA is filed under the name Gallus gallus (chicken). RNAcentral's name for it is "long non-coding RNA NONGGAT005677". Lineage: Eukaryota; Metazoa; Chordata; Aves; Galliformes; Phasianidae. The record is from RNAcentral.